This 490-nucleotide ribosomal RNA is filed under the name uncultured bacterium. RNAcentral describes it as "partial 16S ribosomal RNA". It matches the Rfam family "Bacterial small subunit ribosomal RNA", at positions 30 to 507 of the family's 1533-position model. The record is from RNAcentral.
AUUGAACGCUGGCGGCAUGCCUUACACAUGCAAGUCGAACGGCAGCAUGAUCUAGCUUGCUCGAUUGAUGGCGAGUAGCGAACGGGUGAGUAAUACAUCGGAACGUGCCCUGUAGUGGGGGAUAACUAGUCGAAAGAUUAGCUAAUACCGCAUACGACCUGAGGGUGAAAGUGGGGGACCGCAAGGCCUCAUGCUAUAGGAGCGGCCGAUGUCUGAUUAGCUAGUUGGUGAGGUAAAGGCUCACCAAGGCGACGAUCAGUAGCUGGUCUGAGAGGACGAUCAGCCACACUGGGACUGAGACACGGCCCAGACUCCUACGGGAGGCAGCAGUGGGGAAUUUUGGACAAUGGGCGAAGGCCUGAUCCAGCAAUGCCGCGUGUGUGAAGAAGGCCUUCGGGUUGUAAAGCACUUUUGUCCGGAAAGAAAUGGCUCUGGUUAAUACCUGGGGUCGAUGACGGUACCGGAAGAAUAAGGACCGGCUAACUACGUG